ACAGCAAUAUAAAAUUCAGAAAAUGAAAAUGAAAAUGGAUGAAAAAUUAAUUUUCGUUAUUAAGGUGUAAAUGGGUUAAUUAACGAGGGACAUCACCUGAUUGACCCACACUGAUUUUAGUCCAAUUUUAAUAUAACACAGUUUUUUUUUAGAAAAAUAUUCAUUUUGAAGGGGUGAAAAUAGUCUUUGAAAUUAUCUCUAAUAUCUUGAAAACUUUACUCACUUAAUAAUUUCCAGAACUUUUUCAACCCUUUAACUGUUUUCACCCUUUCAACGUGGACAUCUUCCUUUCAGGAAAAAGCAAACGUAGAAUAUACUUUUUAGUUUUACAUGAUAUUAAAAUUGCAGAAAAAAUCAUUGUUCAUCAAUCGAUUGCUGUCCUUCAUAAGUCAUCAGUCUGCUCGACGUCAAGUCUCUUAGCGUUUAGUUUUUUAUAUUACGAAACCUAUUCUCGACAAGUCAAUUUCGAGACGGCACGUGUCUAGUUACGUUUAGCGUUUUUUGCGAGGUAAUCCUUUUUAAACCACGUAUCGUAUUUUACACGAUACGCUGAAAUAAGCAGAAAAAGAACAAAAAAAAAAUAGAAAUUUUCGAAUUUCCCAGUCGUUUGACGCGUGACUUGACUUCGAGCAUCAAAGCAAAACCAUCGCUCCCUCCUCCUUUGUUUUUUACUUUUUCACUAUCGACGAACGAGAACGGCAAAAAAAAUGAAUAAAUAAAUAAAAAGAAAAAAUGAAACGCAAUAGAUAAAUUCGACUACCCUAUAGAUAGUAUACAUAAUGAAUAAUAAAAUGAAAAAAAAAAGAACGGUAAAGUAUACAUAUUAUAUGUGUAUAUUACAAAUACAAAUUUAUAUAAUAUAUACACUUUACCAUAUAUAUAUUAUAUAUAUAUAUAUAAAUGGAAAAUGAUGUGUAUUGUAAGAUAUUUAAUACCGACUUGUCGUUAGGCACACCACGAUGAUCGAUCGCAAUGAAACGAUGAUAAUAAUUAUUACGAUGAUUGUUGUAUAACGAACGACGACGACGAUGGAUGAUGAUGAUAAUGUUAUUCUACAUUGUAAUUUGCGUUGUAACAUAGAGGCCCAACCGUUACCCACUAAAAAAUCGAUGUGUCGAUGUAUAAAUCCCGGACGUGCCUCGCUCGUGCACGAAAAUGAAAAAUGAAAAAUUGAAAAUUUAUAUUUGAAGCGAAUGUUGAACGUCGACAAAAUUUUAAUUACAAUAGAAAUCAAUUGUUCUUUUUUUUCUUUUCUAUGGGAUUGUAACUGAGAAUUGUAAUAUCCAACUACCAUCGUGAUUUAAAUUAAAUGGGACUUUUUAUUUCAAUGUUGUUUUUGUGUUGUAGAAAUGAACAACGAGUGCAGUACGUCCGGCAGCAACUAGCAAUAAUAUAACAUUCCAACUUAAAUCGUGUACGUACUGCGAAUUCUAAUAAUGUGUGCCGCCGUACGAGAGAGAAAAACACUGUCAAAUACACGCUCAUACACUGCUACAUCUGUGUGUGCUACCCAAAGUGGGCGAUACCAUCCCCUUUUAGGUGCUAGAACGAUUUAUGGGGGAUGGAAGUAGGCUCAGAUGAAAUUGGAGAGUGUAAAUUGGUCACUGCAUCUUUGUGUUCAGUUAAAAAAAUUAUAUUUUCCACAAUGCAGAGUGCCAAUCUGAAAGGGUUGGGCGAAACUAUGUACAUCUACCUUCAAGGGUGGCACGUGGAUAAGCACUCUGGAAUUGCAACACCAUCAAUCUUCCUCAGAUAAUUAUACCAAAAAGGUGGAUGUAUAUUUCGAAAGUUGCAACACCCCUACGAUUUUCAGCUGCGAGCAGCCACUGGCUAAUUUACAAAGAAAACGACGUUGAAGACCAUGGGUGGUGGUGAUUCAGAGGGAUGCAGCUGGUCCUGGGGCUCCUGGAAUUUCGGACGGAGGUUGUUCGCGUUCAUCGAUCUCGACGUUUCAGCUCUUGAAUCAUCAGAGACAGUAGCUAUCGGCAGAAGAGAACAGAAGCAGCAGUCUUUCUCCGAAUGGAACCGUAACGAAUAACGUACCACGAAUGAGAACCGCUGUAGUCAACUGUAUCAUAUUAGUGGCAGUAAUUACAAAUCAUUGGAGAAACUGGAACUGGCCAUUCAACCUUUUCAGUCUGUCGGCUUGGUAAGGAUGAUUUCUACUCGUAUUUUCGCUUCUCUUUAUAUUUCGUUUCGCUCCCUUUACAAAGCUUGCGUACCGCUUUUCUCAUCGCUUAUGAUAUUGAUAGUGGUAGAGAUCUAUCGGAAAUAAAAUAUAUACUGAUUCGAAUUUUCUAACUUUUUCAAAUUUAUAGAAAUAUAAAUAAUAUUUUAUUAAAAAAAGAAAAUAUCAUAAGGUAUUGAGAAAGCUAUAAUAUAGUAGGAUAAGGUAAUGAUAUUUUGAAAACUGGAGGAUCUUCAGAAAUUUCAAGGUAAUAUAAGGUAAUAAAAAAUUAGGAAUUAUUAUCAUUGACAUGACUUGGACCUUUCUCUAGGGUGGGUCAGGUCUCAGAAAUUUAGAAAUUUAGAAAUUUUGAGAUGAUAAAGAUCCACAUUUUUGGGCAAGGGCCAGUCUAGAUGUUUAAGGGUGCCACCCUGACCCCUACCUCGUCAGACCAAUGAUUAUUAUUCGAUAUAAUAAUUAUUUUUAAUUUAUUACACGAGUUUAAUUUGAAAGGUUGAUACAAAAACAUUUCAUUCAUAGGAAAAUACAUAUUUCAACACGAUCGCACGUGUUCGUGUAUGUAUCAGGAUCCAGCUUCUUCGAUAAAAAAAUUCCAUUAAUAGAAAACCGUGACAUUGCGGGAAGCGAAGGCUUUUAUUGUCCCCCAAUAAUUCGUGGCAUUUGUUUCGCUAAGAUCCGGCGGAAAAUUGAUUCAACGAGAGCCCAGAACUACGGCAAGCGGCUUUUCCGGCGUUGACACGAAAAAUGGAAGGCUCCAUUCUCCGGCGAAGCCUGACAAAUGCGGUCUAUUUGUAGCAGGCUGGGUUAAAAGGGGAUUGAUUUAUCGGUUCGCAUCUUCUCGUUGGUGAUUUUUCGUAUCGGCCACCGUAUUUAUGAGACGAUACCGCAUCGUAUUAAUGGGUCCUUCUGUACGGUACCAGCCGGUCGUAUCGAUACCACGAUCUUGUCUCGAAUCUCGGCCUAUCGAUACGUUCCAAUCUGAUCGGCCUACCUGCGAUGGCCACCUUCCCACGCGACAUCUCUGUAUCUUCAACUUGUACGGUACAUACAGUCCGUCUCACAAGAGUGUAUCCAUAAUUAUAAUGAAUUAAUUAAGAAUUACAGGUGUUUCAAUAUACUGCUAAUUGGUAAUGAUAAUAGCACAGCUACGUGACCUAUGGGAUAUUUAUAACUCCAUCAGUUAUUUCUAUAAUAAUAAUAAUAAUCUAUAAUAUUAUAAUGAUUAAAUAAUUGUAAUGAAAAUUUUACUUGUAAGCAGCGUAGAAAAAUUAUUAAAAAAUAUUCUAAAAUAUUGCCAUAACAGUGGAAAUUAGACUAAUUAUGAAAGGAUUAAUUGAAGUACCAUAUACUAAAAUAAAAUUGCAUGCCAUUUGCAAUAAUGUGAUAAUAUACCAGUGGUAUAAACCUAAUUGACCGAUAGGGUAAAUUAACAAAUACUUUUCAUACGAUACAUAUUUCAAUUCAUGCGCAACAUUUUACACGGUAGAUAAAUUUUCACGAAGAUAUCGUGGCCAAGCUCUUGUGAGACAGACUGUAAGUACACUCAGGGACCUCCUGGUAGCAUGUUUUAUCGUAUUGCGUUAUUUCACGGCGAAUGACAUCAGGGUAUAUCGUCCCCGCAUUAAUGACGUUCUUACCGAUUGUGAGAUACGUCUUGUUUUCCCCGUUGGAGAUCCGAGAAGAGACUCGAUAACGGGUUGGUCGUCUCCUCCACGAGGUGGUCAUCCCGUCCUUACCAAUUUCGGUACAACUCUCAAUCACGAGGUUACAUUGGUCGUGCAAAGGGAAAGGCCAUAAUUUUCCUCGGCUUUUUGAAAUCCGAUAAUGUUCAUUUCAGUUGAGAUCGUGAUUAGAAAGGGUUGUCAACAGUCAUUUUUAUCAAAUUUUCAAUUACCAGUCUUGUUUUGCAGCACUUUUAUGUCCUGUGUUUCGAAUUUCUGUGUUUCGAAAUCGGUUAUUUGAUAUGAUACGACCGGACAUAACUGCGGUCCAUGCACACCGUUUGUAAGUUACAUUAUUUUGUAAGUUAUGCGAUAGUUUAAAACGAUUCCUAUCUGCGUUAAAAGCAAAUAAAAUGAAACUCGUGUGAGUAAUCGUAACAUCAGCGUAUACAUGGGAUGUUCGUAUUGAACGCAUUAAAGUAUAAACGAGGUAGUAUUGUCAGUUUUGUACUGAAAUCGGUUUAUAUCUUUAUAAUGCAUCUGUUUACAACCGUAGUUGUUUUACAAAUUCGAUUAGAGUAAUGUUCCAUGUUCCAGGGUUUCAGGUUUAUAUAAAAUAAAUUAGACAUUCUUUUUCUAUGUGAAAAAAAUUUAAUAGAAAUUAAAUUAGGGGAUGAAAUGGUAAUGAAAUUUUAAUUACAAUUAACAUUUAGUAAAUCUUUUAUCAUUCGAAGCUCACCUGUAUUGAAAAAUAAGUAUUUAUUUUAGAAAACACCAAUUUCUUACCUUGACUCAUGUAAUUUGUUAAUUGUUACAUGGAAUUUUCAAUUCCAAGACAUGUCACGUUUAACAAAACUAACAUUUUAGCACCAGGAUAAGUUUGUAUACGAAGGUAAACGUUGGGUGACGCUUUGCAGUGCUAUUUUUUAUCCUUUUUAUCGAGAUGAAGCAAUCCGGAGUACAAUACAUUGUUAGCGUUACUAAUUACAACGAGAAGCUGCGUUUCAAGUCGAAGCUAAUUUAAGGCGGCGCUAAUUUACCGUUGUAUUUGAACGUACUAUUAGACACGCACGUGCUGCGUGUAAUACUCACGAGUGGAUCCACCGACUCGAUGACACGCGUAAAACAUUCCUCGACCACUUGAACUUAGAACUCAAAAUUUUACUGGCAAUAUCUACGUACACGUAUACGUACACCUGGGACAAGUGUAUGUACGUCAUAUUCGUUCAGCUUGUAAUUACGAUUUGUUUCUACAAUGGCUAGUUUCCUAUAGUGGGCUGUUUACCAAACGUUUACGAUCUACCUUCAUAGAAAUUCAAAGAAGAUCAUUAUCUUUUCAGAUAAACACAAUAUACGAGCUUACUGGCAUUCUACCAAGAACUAUUAACAAUUAUGGUUUAUUCACUACCUGUAAACAAAUUGACAUUCUUAUGAAGUAUCUUUAAUUUUCUUUUACCGUAAUAUGUAAGGAUUGGUCAGUUUGAUUACAGAAUCGAAAAUAUCGUACAAGAUAAGAAUUAAAGUUAGAUCUAUACAACGAGUUUUAUCAUUAAGGAAUUUAAUCGCGUGAAAUAAAACACGUAUAAUUUGAACCCUUCUUUUAAUUCUUUUCGAGGCGUAGCGAUUCAGUUAUCAGCGAUUUAAUUAUCACCAAAAUUCUGUGUUUUUCGAGUGCCUUGC
Molecule: long non-coding RNA, 5529 nt
Organism: Osmia bicornis bicornis
Lineage: Eukaryota; Metazoa; Arthropoda; Insecta; Hymenoptera; Megachilidae
Exons: 6
Source: RefSeq, a predicted model, not a curated record